RNAcentral lists this transfer-messenger RNA (380 nucleotides) under Bacilli. RNAcentral describes it as "UBA3789 sp902783435 Standard tmRNA". It matches the Rfam family "transfer-messenger RNA". Rfam says of the family: Bacterial tmRNA, also known as 10Sa RNA or SsrA, is named for its dual tRNA and mRNA-like properties. Its role is to liberate the mRNA from a stalled ribosome. RNAcentral also lists the same sequence under 1 other name. The record is from RNAcentral. Lineage: Bacteria; Bacillati; Bacillota.
GGGGCCGAUUUGGUUUCGACGGGAAUAGUAGAGCAUAGAUGGCAGGUCGAAUGUCCACGUCACGGGCACAAAAAAAUAAAUGCUGAAAAGUUAACAAAUUUUGUUGGUAACAUGUUUGGUGGAAACCAAGCUGUUGCAUUUGCCUAAUAAUAAUAUAAAGGUCAACACUUCUUAUAAUCUUACCUAGGGAUUAUAUAGAGGGUCAUUUUAAUAGGUUAUAGCUAUCUUUUGUCUAGAAGAUAGAAAGAAUAUUCAGACUGGUAUAUUUUCUUGGUCGUUAACUACUUGGAAAGUAUAUGAGAAUAACUAGUUAACUAAGCUUGUAGAAGUUUAUGUAGCUCUAUUUUCGGACAGGAGUUCGAUUCUCCUCGGUUCCACCA